GACGGCAGGAACGCGAACAACGCCUGGAAUCAAAAAGACGGAAUGAAAAAAGCAACAUAGUAUUUGCCUUUGGUAGUUCCACACCUCGUAUGUUGGAUCCCAAAGAUGGUGUCAGUACAUUCUGGGGAUCACGCAGGGCUACCUCCACGACAAAUGUCCACUUAGCAGAUACCAAUAUCAGUAGGCGAGCAUCUGAAGGUGGAGACAUGGACCUAAGCCGUAAGCGCGCCACUUCGGCCCACAGCCUCGACAGGAAGCCAGAAG
Molecule: long non-coding RNA, 264 nt
Filed under: Penaeus japonicus
Lineage: Eukaryota; Metazoa; Arthropoda; Malacostraca; Decapoda; Penaeidae
Description: uncharacterized LOC122251473
Source: RNAcentral